RNAcentral lists this long non-coding RNA (573 nucleotides) under Helianthus annuus (common sunflower). RNAcentral describes it as "hypothetical non coding rna". The record is from RNAcentral. Lineage: Eukaryota; Viridiplantae; Streptophyta; Magnoliopsida; Asterales; Asteraceae.
UUUUUAUCUAAUCAAAAAAUUGGAAGAAGAAAUGUGUUUUUGGUUAAAUUAUAUAGAUAAGGAUAGAGAAGCUAAUAUGAAUGCUCUUAUUUCGAGAUAUGUCUUCUUCCCAAAACAUUCAAACUAGCUCCUCUUUAAACUUUCCAAUAACCUAUUCUCAAUUAAACUCAUAGGCCAAACCACAACACGAUCCAACCAUCUACAACUGAAGCUGAACAACAUCGUAACCAUAUUCAUCUCCAACCAACCCUGCAACAUCAAAAAGAUAACUAAGCGAAACGAAGUUGUAAUUACAAGUGCACCCAUGUUUCAAACAGAGGGUUAAGUCUGUGGACGUCACGCUCGAAGGUUAGGCCAGAAUUUUUUAAGUUGGCGGAGAUGCGUCUUUGAAAGGUUGUGCUCGAUGAAGAUCCUCAAGUUUUGGAGCUGUUGCUUAGGAUGCUGAUCGUGACACGCUAGGGUGGACUCGGGCCUUAGUGACAUAAAAUGGAACUAGACUUAGUUUAAUUAUGUGACAAAUGUUAUGUAUGCUUUGAUUAGUCACUGUGUGUCAUUUGUUUGCUUUGUGAUACG